RNAcentral lists this ribosomal RNA (448 nucleotides) under uncultured bacterium. RNAcentral describes it as "SSU rRNA". It matches the Rfam family "Bacterial small subunit ribosomal RNA", at positions 26 to 518 of the family's 1533-position model. The record is from RNAcentral.
AGAAUGAACGCUGGCGGCAUGCCUAACACAUGCAAGUCGAACGAACUACCUUCGGGUAGUUAGUGGCGCACGGGUGCGUAACGCGUGGGAAUCUGCCCUUGGGUUCGGAAUAACAGUGAGAAAUUACUGCUAAUACCGGAUAAUGUCGCAAGACCAAAGAUUUAUUGCCCAAGGAUGAGCCCGCGUAAGAUUAGCUAGUUGGUGGGGUAAAGGCCUACCAAGGCGACGAUCUUUAGCUGGUCUGAGAGGAUGAUCAGCCACACUGGGACUGAGACACGGCCCAGACUCCUACGGGAGGCAGCAGUGGGGAAUAUUGGACAAUGGGCGAAAGCCUGAUCCAGCAAUGCCGCGUGAGUGAUGAAGGCCUUAGGGUUGUAAAGCUCUUUUACCCGGGAAGAUAAUGACUGUACCGGAGAAUAAGCCCGGCUAACUCCGUGCCAGCAGCCGC